RNAcentral lists this long non-coding RNA (1413 nucleotides) under Anser cygnoides (Swan goose). RNAcentral's name for it is "lncRNA (ENSACDG00005001956.1)". The record is from RNAcentral. Lineage: Eukaryota; Metazoa; Chordata; Aves; Anseriformes; Anatidae.
AUGCUCGCAGGGCUUUGCACGAGCCCCACUGAAUGCCCCAACCCUGGGAGCUGGGGCUGUAUGAGAAGCCAGGACAAAGAUCCCUGGAGAUGUCUUGCAAGCACCGACACCGACCGUUCACAACCCCAUUCCCUCCAGAAGUGUGUGGGGAUGGGGCCUGGGGGUGCUGGGCUGGCCCAUGCAGGGCUCUGUGCCCCACCACCCCCAUGUCCCCACCCACGGUUCUCGGACCGAGGAGGAGCUGGGACUUGCUGUAGCCCCAGGAGCCAGAACAGCCCCGAGCCUGGGGGGCUUCAAGCUCUGAGCCUCUGCUGCUCAGCACCCUCUGCACCCCCCGUGCUGUGCUUCCCCCCGGCACGCUCCUCCCGUGCAGAGCUCAGGCCAAGCGCACGGUUUGGCUCUGGCUGCACCCGCGGUGCCCCCGGCUCAUCUCCGCUCACAGGCAGGGGGGAUUUAGCAAAUGAACCUCCGAGGGCCAGGGAAGAGAAAACAGGUGGAAAACCACCCAGCACCUCAUUCCCAGGCUGCUCAGAAAGAGCCCGGAGCACCAGGAGCAGGCACCAGCCGUGCCACCGUCCCUCCCCAAAGCCACCCGGCGCUGGCUUGGCACGGGGCCGCGUGGCCGUGGCGCAGCCCGGGGGACAUCGCGCCGCGCUGCCGCGUUCCCACGCAGCCGGGCAAUCUCCCAGCGGAUCUGCAGCGCCUCCGGCCGCGGGGCUGGGGCUCAGGCUCCGGCUUGCGGAGCUCGGCGGCUCCAGGCGCUCCGUCGGCGCUGCUUGUCGGGGCAGAGCUCCAGCGCGAGGUCUCCCUUCCCCGGCUGCCGCCCCUGCCUGCAAAGCCAGGCAGCCGCGCUCCGGGCACCCGCUUGUGAGCCACCUUGGGAACCCCUGGGGGCAGCGGGAAGGGGACCCAGGAGGCUGGGGGUGGUGGUUGGGGGCUUGGGAGCCCGGCUGCGGGAUGCCGGAGGAUUUAGGGGGACGCCUCCAACCCGUGAAGCUCUGUGCAGGGUUUGUGCUCUCCCAUGCCCUGUGGGGCCCCACAAAACAAAGCAACAAGAGGGGAAGCAGCAGAAGGGCCUGUUUGGGGAUGUGCUCGGUACAAGGAGUCCCCAUUGACUUCCCCAGCGUCACCGUCAGCCCCAGGACAACACGAGGCAGGACGGUGUCCAGCAGCAUGGCCACGUCACUGCACCGUCCAGGCACAGUGACCAGGGGUCCCUGCCGCAGCAGCUCUCCAGCCCCUUCUCAGCGUGGGGGCUCAGGGGGAGCCGUGUCCCCUUCCACGUCCAUCUGUCCCAGAGCUCACCGCUGCGCUGCUUCCUUCGGGCUCAGCCUCUCCCAUCCCAUCCCCUGUCCCGCAGGAGAGGCCUGGGGGUCUCCGCCAGUCCGCCACAGUCCUGGCCACGUUGGCUGA